RNAcentral lists this ribosomal RNA (502 nucleotides) under uncultured bacterium. Its description in RNAcentral is "partial 16S ribosomal RNA". It matches the Rfam family "Bacterial small subunit ribosomal RNA", at positions 30 to 523 of the family's 1533-position model. The record is from RNAcentral.
AUUGAACGCUGGCGGCAUGCCUUACACAUGCAAGUCGAACGGCAGCAUAGGAGCUUGCUCCUGAUGGCGAGUGGCGAACGGGUGAGUAAUAUAUCGGAACGUGCCCUAGAGUGGGGGAUAACUAGUCGAAAGACUAGCUAAUACCGCAUACGAUCUAAGGAAGAAAGUGGGGGAUAGCAAGACCUCAUGCUCCUGGACCGGCCGAUAUCUGAUUAGCUAGUUGGUGGGGUAAAAGCCUACCAAGGCGACGAUCAGUAGCUGGUCGGAGAGGACGACCAGCCACACUGGGACUGAGACACGGCCCAGACUCCUACGGGAGGCAGCAGUGGGGAAUUUUGGACAAUGGGGGCAACCCUGAUCCAGCAAUGCCGCGUGAGUGAAGAAGGCCUUCGGGUUGUAAAGCUCUUUUGUCAGGGAAGAAACGGUAGUAGCUAAUAUCUAUUACUAAUGACGGUACCUGAAGAAUAAGCACCGGCUAACUACGUGCCAGCCGCCGCUGUAA